This 453-nucleotide ribosomal RNA is filed under the name uncultured Desulfobulbus sp. RNAcentral's name for it is "bacterial SSU rRNA". It matches the Rfam family "Bacterial small subunit ribosomal RNA", at positions 933 to 1382 of the family's 1533-position model. The record is from RNAcentral. Lineage: Bacteria; Pseudomonadati; Thermodesulfobacteriota; Desulfobulbia; Desulfobulbales; Desulfobulbaceae.
UGGAGUAUGUGGUUUAAUUCGAUGCAACGCGAAGAACCUUACCUGGUCUUGACAUCCCGGAGACCCUUAGGAACUAGGGGUGCUUCCAUCUGGAAGAAUCUGGAGACAGGUGCUGCAUGGCUGUCGUCAGCUCGUGUCGUGAGAUGUUGGGUUAAGUCCCGCAACGAGCGCAACCCUUGCCUUUAGUUGCCAGCAGUUCGGCUGGGCACUCUAAAGGGACUGCCGGUGUUAAACCGGAGGAAGGUGGGGAUGACGUCAAGUCCUCAUGGCCUUUAUGACCAGGGCUACACACGUACUACAAUGGCCGAUACAAAGGGCAGCGACACUGCGAGGUGAAGCCAAUCCCGUAAAAUCGGUCUCAGUCCGGAUUGGAGUCUGCAACUCGACUCCAUGAAGUUGGAAUCGCUAGUAAUCGUGGAUCAGCAUGCCACGGUGAAUACGUUCCCGGGCCUU